This 21-nucleotide unclassified non-coding RNA is filed under the name Dictyostelium discoideum. Lineage: Eukaryota; Evosea; Eumycetozoa; Dictyosteliales; Dictyosteliaceae. The record is from RNAcentral.
UCUUGGCACCUUCUAUUCUGU